Rosa rugosa (rugosa rose) is the source of this 1895-nucleotide long non-coding RNA. RefSeq lists it as uncharacterized. The record is from RefSeq and is a predicted model, not a curated record. NCBI's taxonomy places the organism in Eukaryota, Viridiplantae, Streptophyta, Magnoliopsida, Rosales, Rosaceae. The transcript has 7 exons.
UUCGCUCCACACAGGGGUGGAGAAAGAGAGAGAGAGAGAUGGCAAAGGAAGUGCUCCUGUCUAGCGUCUCAAAACGUCGGUGUCUUUCUUCUUCGCUCCAGAGGUAGAGAGAGAGAGAGAGAAUGAGGGGAAUUGAAAUCGAUGCUUGAGGUAGAGAGAGAGAGAGUAUCGGUGCCCAAGUGGGAACAGCUGCAUGUUCCGUCCCAGAUUCAAAUCGACGGCGGCCAUGGCUGUUGGGAUGAAGAGUCGAUCUGUUUUUAGGAUUUUGUGGGUGUUCAGAAAGCGGAGAGUUCAGUGAAAGAGCUCGGUUUCAAUCCCAGUGGCUGUUCUUGACCUUGAUAAUGAAGAAGAGUGAGAACGAGAAGAUAGACCUGAAAUUGUUGUUGUGAAUGUAGAAAAGAAAACAGGAGAAGAUGAGAAGAAGGGUGAAAGGUCUGGUGCUUCGUGCUCAAGCUCGGAUCUUCCUUGCAUGGAUAAGCUCAGGGAUCAGAUUUCUUGAGAGUGAUUGGAUCGACCAGUUAAGGAAUAUGAUGGCUAACGGCGGAGAGGGAUCUGGUGGCGAUAUUCAAGGCGGUGAGGGAGAAGGAGAGGAAGAAGAGGUGGGCGGUGGAGGAGGAGAAGAAGAAGAAGGAGGCGGAGGUCAAGGCCAAGGAGGAGGCCAAGGUGGUGGAGGAGAAGAAGGACAAGGAGGAGGAGAAGAGUGGAAAGAGAGUUCCAAACAAAGGGAAUGGGCUUGAUAUGGAGAAAUACUCAUGGACCCAGAGUCUGUAGGAGGUCAAUAUAAUCAUUUCAGUGCCUGCUGGAACUAAAUCAAGGGAUAUUGUUUAUGAGGCCAAGAAGAACCGUCUGAAGUUUGGACUGAAGGGUCGGUCUCUUAUAAUUGAUGUUUGUCAACGUCUUCAUUCAUUUUUUCUGUACUAUGCAGCAAAAGAUAUUCUAUCAAGUGUAGGGAAGAAAACGGUGGAGUCCAUGGUGCCAUUAGCAGAGAAAACUAAAGACAUGGCCGUAUUUGCAGGUAAGACCACUCUGCAUUAUGUUGGUCAUGUUGCGGUGGAUUUGAAAGACAAGGCCGCUGUGGCAGGUUGGACUGUAGCACACGACGGAACUGAGGCACCAGUGGAGGGAACCAAAGCAGCUGCAAGAUUAGUUGCCGGAGCAGCAGGGUAUGCUGGUCAUGAGGCUGUGGAUAUUGUGUCCAUGCCUUUUGAGUGCUGCUAAAUAUGCUCUGUUGUGGUGACUGGUGAGAAAGCUGAGGAGUUCACUGCUCGGAAGAAGGUAGAGGCGAUGAGAGAAUAUGAGGCCAAGAAAGCAGCUGAAGCAAAUAGGCCCAAGGGUUCUGAGACUACUUAUCAAGGAGGAUAAUCCAAAUGCUGGGAGCAAGAGGAGACAUGGACGAAACCAGUUCAGAGGGAAUCUCAGCAUAUGCAGAGUGGCAGACCAACUGAAAAAACCAACCAGAAACCGCACAGUUAGAGAGGGAGCGCAAGAGGGCGGUACCUGGGUGCCGGGAACAAUCGGCAGGACUUGAGGUGUGAUACCGAGAGCUGUUAGUGAGACAUUGGUUGAGAUAGUUGAGAAUACGAAAAACUUUGUUAUUGGGUAGGGUGAAAAUGGAAUGGUUGAGGAGAGCGAGGAAGGGUGGAGCUCAAAUGCACAGCAAGGAGGGCAAGAAUGGAGCUCAAAUGCACAGCAAGGGAAGCAGGGGUGGAGGUCAUCUGAGAAGCAUGGCAGGCAGGAGGGGAGGUCAUCUGUGCUGGUGGUGAUGUUACUAGAACAUGAUCUACUUAAUGUUGUAAAACAGGCUAAAUCUUUUGUUAAUACAAUGAUUAUGUCAACUAUAUUUUCUAUGCUUUUGAAUUUAGUCCUUAAAUAAUGUUGUGUUAGCUCCAAAACCG